Molecule: unclassified non-coding RNA, 338 nt
Filed under: soil metagenome
Description: partial contains 5.8S ribosomal RNA, internal transcribed spacer 2, and large subunit ribosomal RNA
Rfam family: 5.8S ribosomal RNA (bases 1-121)
Source: RNAcentral
GAUGAAGAACGCAGUGAAAUGCGAUAAGUAAUGCGAAUUGCAGAAUUUCCGUGAAUCAUCGAAUCUUUGAACGCACAUUGCGCCCCCUGGCAUUCCGGGGGGCAUGCCUGUCCGAGCGUCAUUUCUGCCCUCAAGCACGGCUUGUGUGUUGGGUGUGGUCCCCCCGGGGACCUGCCCGAAAGGCAGCGGCGACGUCCGUCUGGUCCUCGAGCGUAUGGGGCUCUGUCACUCGCUCGGGAAGGACCUGCGGGGGUUGGUCACCACCAUGUUUUACCACGGUUGACCUCGGAUCAGGUAGGAGUUACCCGCUGAACUUAAGCAUAUCAAUAAGCGGAGGA